AGGACACAAAACAAAUGUUUUAGAGUCUUUUGCUGCUAUACUUUUCUGCAGAGUCCUAGGACCCUGCUUGGUACUCAUACUGCCAGAAUAUAUUCAGUGGCCUGAAACUCUACUUGACCUCCUAGUAUGUGGACUGCAAGAAGCAAACCCAGUGCUCACAGAUCUUGCUCUGCCAAGGCUCUGUCAAGUCUUGGUUCUGGUUGUGUGACCUUGGAUUUGCCUUAUUGGAGCCUGAAUUUUCCCUGGCACAAAGGACAUAUGAGACAGGAGAGCGACAUGAAUUCAGAUGUGAUUUGAGAGGUAAAAUUUAGCUGUGAAAUUCUUGGCCUGGGGG
RNAcentral lists this long non-coding RNA (334 nucleotides) under Monodelphis domestica (gray short-tailed opossum). RNAcentral describes it as "lncRNA (ENSMODG00000032594.2)". Lineage: Eukaryota; Metazoa; Chordata; Mammalia; Didelphimorphia; Didelphidae. The record is from RNAcentral.